RNA transcript from Piliocolobus tephrosceles (Ugandan red Colobus), 448 nucleotides. It is a transcript of the gene named transmembrane protein 99 (putative), with no coding region annotated. The transcript is spliced from 3 exons. Lineage: Eukaryota; Metazoa; Chordata; Mammalia; Primates; Cercopithecidae. The record is from RefSeq and is a predicted model, not a curated record.
GUAGCCGCCGCCGGAGCUUCCGCCGCCGGAGCUUCCGCCUCCGUAGCCGCCGCCGGAACUACCACCGUGGCCGCCGCCGUAACCGCCGCCGGAGCUUCCUCCUCCGUAACCGCCGCCGGAGCUUCCUCCUCCGUAGCCUCCGCCGUAACUUCCGCCGCCGCGUCCACCGCCUCCGGAACUAAACGGGGUGAGGUCACAUUCGGUUAUCUCUAACGUUGGAAAACGAUGGAGCUAACACCCAUUAUGGAGAUUAACCACUUUUCAUCGGGUUUUUAACUCUUUGAGUCUUGAGGAAUACAACAGUGAACGCAAGGGCAAACAUUAUACUGUGGAGACACAAAAUGUUUUGAGACAACUGUGACCAGACAUGUCACGUGUGGAUAUACCGUUGGAUUUCAAAGCAACACGUUGUAACUUUUUUUGUUUUUUCCUUUUACAACAGAUUCAU